ACAAGCUGUUAAGAGCAUAUGGUGGAUGCCUUGGUGCUAAUAGGCGAUGAAGGACGUGAUAAGCUGCGAUAAGCUUCGGAUAGCGGCAAAUACGCUUUGACCCGGAGAUUUCCGAAUGGGGUAACCUGGCUGGGGUAAUACUCAGUCGUUCUACUCUGAAUUAAUAGGAGUAGAUACGCAAUACCCGGUGAAGUGAAACAUCUCAGUAACCGGAGGAAAAGAAAGAGAAUCGAUUCCGUAAGUAGUGGCGAGCGAAAGCGGAAGAGCCCAAACCGAGGCCAUUGGUCUCGGGGUUGUAGGACUCCAAUGUGGGACUGUCAAAGUUAGGUUAAGUGUGUGGAAAAGCACUCCAGAGAAGGUGAAAGGCCUGUGACCGAAAACUGCGACAGCCUUAGGAUGUUCCUGAGUAGUGCCGCACACGUGAAACGUGGCAUGAAUCUGCGCCGACCACGGCGUAAGGCUAAAUACUAAUUAGCGACCGAUAGUGAACCAGUACCGUGAGGGAAAGGUGAAAAGUACCGCUGUGAGCGGAGUGAAAUAGAACCUGAAACCAUAUGCUUACAAGGUGUCAAAGCCCCUUCGGGGGUGAUGGCGUGCCUUUUGCUUAAUGAGUCUGCGAGUUAGUGUUUGUAGCAAGCUUAAGCCCUUCUGGGGUGCAGGCGUAGCGAAAGCGAGUCCGAAUAGGGCGAUAUAGUUGCAGGUGCUAGACCCGAAGCGGAGGUGACCUACCUAUGGCCAGGUUGAAGCGUCGGUAAUACGACGUGGAGGACCGAACCGAUGUGUGUUGAAAAACGCUCGGAUGAGCUGUGGGUAGGAGUGAAAGGCUAAUCAAACCCCGUGAUAGCUGGUUCUCCUCGAAAUGUAUUUAGGUACAGCGUCAUAUGCUGACCAAGGGGGGUAGAGCACUGAAUGAACUAGGGCCCAUACCCGGGUACCGACUUCAAUCAAACUCCGAAUACCCUUGGGUGAAGUAUGGCAGUGAGAAUAUGGGGGAUAAACUUCAUACUCGAAAGGGAAACAGCCCAGAUCAGCAGCUAAGGUGCCAAAAUAACGCUAAGUGGAAAGGAGGUGGGAUUACUUAGACAGUGAGGAUGUUGGCUUAGAAGCAGCCACCAUUUAAAAAGUGCGUAAUAGCUUACUCAUCGAGUGAUCCUGCGCCUAAAAUGAUUGGCGAUAAGCGUUAUACCGAAGCUCUGGAUGCAUACAUUAAAUUGUAUGUGUGGUAGAGGAGCGUUCUCAGAGCCUUGAAGCCGGAUGGUGAUUGAAGGUGGAGUUCUGAGAAGUGAGAAUGCAGACAUGAGUAACGAGAGGGAGGUGAAAUUCCUCCCCGCCGUAAACCCGAGGUUUCCUGGGCAAUGUUCGUCAUCCCAGGGUUAGUCGGGACCUAAGCCGAGGCCGAUAGGCGUAGGCGAUGGUUAGCAGGUUAAUAUUCCUGCACUUCCUGAACCCAAAGCACUAGGGACACAGGCUGGAAAGAUACUAGGUAAUUGAAUUCCGAGGUGAGGCUACGGCCGAUCCGCAUAUCUGGAAAGACUGUCAAGAAAAGCUAGUGUGUAGUGCUAAAGGAACCCGUACCGUAAACCAACACAGGUGGGUGGGUAGAAUAUACCAAGGCGAAAGAGUGAAACCUGGUUAAGGAACUCGGCAAAAUAGCCCCGUAACUUCGGAAUAAGGGGUGCCCACUAUAUGUGGGCCGCAGUGAAAGGGGACAACCGACUGUUUAGCAAAAACACAGCAUUCUGCUAAGAUGAAAAUCGAAGUAUAGGAUGUGACACGUGACCAAUGCCGAAAGAUUAAGGUAAGAUGUUAGCUCUUGUAGCGAAGCUUUGAACCCAAGUCCCGGUGAAUGUCGGCCGUAACUAUAACGGUCCUAAGGUAGCGAAAUUCCUUGUCGGGUAAGUUCCGACCUGCACGAAUC
This 1918-nucleotide ribosomal RNA is filed under the name marine sediment metagenome. RNAcentral's name for it is "bacterial LSU rRNA". It matches the Rfam family "Bacterial large subunit ribosomal RNA", at positions 1 to 1998 of the family's 2925-position model. The record is from RNAcentral.